RNAcentral lists this ribosomal RNA (407 nucleotides) under uncultured prokaryote. RNAcentral describes it as "bacterial SSU rRNA". It matches the Rfam family "Bacterial small subunit ribosomal RNA", at positions 355 to 776 of the family's 1533-position model. RNAcentral also lists the same sequence under 1 other name. The record is from RNAcentral.
UGGGGAAUAUUGGGCAAUGGGGGAAACCCUGACCCAGCAACGCCGCGUGAGGGAAGAAGGUUUUCGGAUUGUAAACCUCUGUCCUUGGGGACGAAAAAAAUGACGGUACCCAAGGAGGAAGCUCCGGCUAACUACGUGCCAGCAGCCGCGGUAAUACGUAGGGAGCAAGCGUUGUCCGGAAUUACUGGGCGUAAAGGGUGCGUAGGCGGUUAUGUAAGUCGGAUGUGAAAUACCCAGGCUCAACCUGGGGGGUGCAUUCGAAACUGCAUGGCUUGAGUGCAGGAGAGGAAAGUGGAAUUCCUAGUGUAGCGGUGAAAUGCGUAGAUAUUAGGAGGAACACCAGUGGCGAAGGCGACUUUCUGGACUGUAACUGACGCUGAGGCACGAAAGCGUGGGGAGCAAACAGG